Molecule: transfer RNA, 77 nt
Filed under: Candidatus Sumerlaeaceae bacterium
Lineage: Bacteria; Candidatus Sumerlaeota; Candidatus Sumerlaeia; Candidatus Sumerlaeales; Candidatus Sumerlaeaceae
Description: tRNA-His
Rfam family: tRNA
About the family: Transfer RNA (tRNA) molecules are approximately 80 nucleotides in length. Their secondary structure includes four short double-helical elements and three loops (D, anti-codon, and T loops).
Source: RNAcentral
GUGGGUAUAGUUCAGUCGGUUAGAACGCCAGAUUGUGGAUCUGGAGGUCGUCGGUUCAAGUCCGACUAUCCACCCCA